GACGAACGCUGGCGGCGUGCUUAACACAUGCAAGUCGAACGGAAAGGCCCUGCUUUUGUGGGGUGCUCGAGUGGCGAACGGGUGAGUAACACGUGAGUAACCUGCCCUUGACUUUGGGAUAACUUCAGGAAACUGGGGCUAAUACCGGAUAGGAGCUCCUGCUGCAUGGUGGGGGUUGGAAAGUUUCGGCGGUUGGGGAUGGACUCGCGGGUUAUCAGCUGGUUGGUGGGGUAGUGGCUUACCAAGGCUUUGACGGGUAGCCGGCCUGAGAGGUUGACCGGCCACAUGGGGACUGAGAUACGCCCCAGACUGCUACGGGGGGCAGCAGUGGAGAGUAUUGUACAAUGGGCGGAAGCCUGAUGCAGCAACCCCGCGUGCGGGAUGACGGCCUUCGGGUUAUAAACCGCUUUCGCCUGUGACGAAGCGUGAGUGACGGUAAUGGGUAAAGAAGCACCGGCUAACUACGUG
This 468-nucleotide ribosomal RNA is filed under the name uncultured bacterium. RNAcentral describes it as "partial 16S ribosomal RNA". It matches the Rfam family "Bacterial small subunit ribosomal RNA", at positions 28 to 507 of the family's 1533-position model. The record is from RNAcentral.